RNAcentral lists this ribosomal RNA (357 nucleotides) under Triticum aestivum (bread wheat). RNAcentral describes it as "partial small subunit ribosomal RNA". The record is from RNAcentral. Lineage: Eukaryota; Viridiplantae; Streptophyta; Magnoliopsida; Poales; Poaceae.
AUGCUGCAGGAGGAUGGGGGAAUUGAUGAAGAUGUGAACCAUCGAAUCAAAGCCGGAUGGAUGAAGUGGCGCCAAGCUUCUGGCAUUCUCUGUGACAAGAGAGUGCCACAAAAGCUAAAAGGCAAGUUCUACAGGACGGCGGUUCGACCCGCAAUGUUGUAUGGCGCUGAGUGUUGGCCGACUAAAAGGCGACAUGUUCAACAGUUAGGUGUGGCGGAGAUGCGUAUGUUGAGAUGGAUGUGUGGCCACACGAGGAAGGAUCGAGUCCAGAAUGAUGAUAUACGAGAUAGAGUUGGGGUAGCACCAAUUGAAGAGAAGCUUGUCCAACAUCGUCUGAGAUGGUUUGGGCAUAUUUAG